GGGAUCGUGGUGGAACGGCAGACACGGCUGAUUUAAGGUCAGAAGCAUCAUUAUGAUGCACUUGGGGGUUCGAGUCCCUCCGGUCCUA
RNAcentral lists this transfer RNA (88 nucleotides) under Spirochaetota bacterium. Its description in RNAcentral is "Spirochaetes bacterium tRNA-Leu". It matches the Rfam family "tRNA". Rfam says of the family: Transfer RNA (tRNA) molecules are approximately 80 nucleotides in length. Their secondary structure includes four short double-helical elements and three loops (D, anti-codon, and T loops). Lineage: Bacteria; Pseudomonadati; Spirochaetota. The record is from RNAcentral.